This 430-nucleotide ribosomal RNA is filed under the name uncultured soil bacterium. Its description in RNAcentral is "bacterial SSU rRNA". It matches the Rfam family "Bacterial small subunit ribosomal RNA", at positions 258 to 688 of the family's 1533-position model. The record is from RNAcentral.
UAACGGCUCACCAAGGCUAUGAUCGUUAGCUGGUCUGAGAGGAUGGCCAGCCUACUGCUAACUGAGACACGGUCCAUACUCCUACGGGAGGCAGCAGUGGGGAAUCUUGCACAAUGGGCGAAAGCCUGCUGCAGCGCCGCCUCGUGGGGGAUGAAGCUCUUCGGAGUGUAAACCCCUUUCGACCCGGACGAAUGCCUCGCAAGAGGACUGACGGUACGGGUAUAAGAAGCCGCGGCUAACUACCUGCCAGCAGCCGCGGUACGACGUAGGGCGCCAGCGUUGCUCGGAAUUACUGGGUGUAAAGGGUUCGUAGGCGGUGCGCUAGUUGGGGAGUGAAAAUCUCUGGGCUCAACCCAGCGGCUGCUUCCAAAACUGCUGUGCUUGAGUGUGGGAGCGGCUCGUGUUAUUGCAGGGUGUAGCGAUGAAAAUG